RNAcentral lists this long non-coding RNA (385 nucleotides) under Olea europaea subsp. europaea. The record is from RNAcentral. Lineage: Eukaryota; Viridiplantae; Streptophyta; Magnoliopsida; Lamiales; Oleaceae.
UUUUAAGUUUACAUUUCAUUAAUCAGUUUUUAGUUUUAAUCUUUCUUAAAUCAGGAUAUAUUAAAUUAUUUAACAUCAAAUAUCAAAUACAAUAUUAACAAUCAAUUACUAAUUAAUUACUGUCUUUUACAUGAAUAGUGGGAGAGAGAUAACUUAUCAAAAUUUAUUCUUCUUCCAUAUCCAGCAAGAAAGAAGUCAAAAUCCAUUCUUCAAUUCAAGAUUCCACAAUCGUCAAGAUAUUAGAUAUUUGAAACCUCCAUCGUUUGUAUUAUUAUUGAUUCUAUUUUCCCUAAUUCAUUCUCUCAAAUACCCUAUUUUAUAGUUCAAGGUUUUAUUGAACACUAACUAAUUACAAAUCCAAAUCAAAAAUGGUGUUAACAAAGAG